ACGCUCGACACCUACGGGAGUCAGCAGUGGGGAAUAUUGCACAAUGGGGGAAACCCUGAUGCAGCGACGCCGCGUGGAGGAAGAAGGUCUUCGGAUUGUAAACUCCUGUUGUUGGGGAAAAAGAGGAUGGUACCCAACAAGGAAGUGACGGCUAACUACGUGGCAGCAGCCGCGGUAAUCUGAGCGGGCUGGCAAGGC
RNAcentral lists this ribosomal RNA (198 nucleotides) under uncultured bacterium. Its description in RNAcentral is "partial 16S ribosomal RNA". It matches the Rfam family "Bacterial small subunit ribosomal RNA", at positions 328 to 539 of the family's 1533-position model. The record is from RNAcentral.